Molecule: unclassified non-coding RNA, 423 nt
Filed under: Drymonia lanceolata
Lineage: Eukaryota; Viridiplantae; Streptophyta; Magnoliopsida; Lamiales; Gesneriaceae
Description: partial external transcribed spacer
Source: RNAcentral
UGAUUGACGUGCAUCGGUAUGUUGGAUCCCUGCUAGGGCAGCGACAAUGUACCUUGCUCGCCACUUCAGUCGUUGGCAGCCUUUGUCGGAUGAUGUUUUCCUGUGUUAUAUUCCAUUGAAAAAGGGCAUUGAAUUUGUUCAAUUGCAUCAGUUCGCUUCUCGUUGCGUCCCCUCGGAUUUUGGCAUGCAGUGAACUUUAAAGCAUUUAUCGUGUUCCACUUUCCUUGCAUGCACGUGCUCGGGUUGUUGGGCCACGAUAGUUGCUCGGUCUCUCGGUUGCGGAACACCUUGUGGGCACGAGGCCGCUAGUCCUCUAUUCGGCCCUUAUCUAGCGUUUAACGCUAUGUUCAAACGACAGUUGUGGCCGUCUUGACUAGACCUUUUACGGCUUGGCUCAUACGGUCCCAACGUCGAUGAGGAAUG